CAGAGCUGAGAAUUCCACCCCGUGGAGGACUGGGGAAGGCAAAGAGCAGAGCACCCCUUCACCUUCACCCAAAUAACCGGUGCCGGGCAGCAACUCUCAGAGCUGCGAGUCCAGGAGCUCUUGCUGCGCCUGCCUCUUCCUCUCAGCAGCCAUCCAGGCCCUGGGCAAGGAGUGAGCAAGGAGGUUUGAAACACCAUCAGCCCACACGGCCUGCGCGCUCCGCAGGAGCUCACCCUGAACCGGAGCUCGGACGGAUUGCCUCGAAAGUACUCUCAGAAAGUCAUCCAACACGCGUACUUUCUGCCCAUUCUGCUUUCUGCGACGGUUAUUUAUCAGAGCCAUCUUAUUUCGCUGCAUUCAUUUUUAUGCAUUCAUUCCCCCCCCCCAAUUCCUGGUGGAAGGUGUUUGUCUUAAUCCAACAGAACAGCCCUGGAAAGAUCUGGAGGUUUCUAAUCAUGAACACAUAUCCUGCCUCGUACAGUUUGGCUGCAGUAAGUAACCGCAUUCCUUGCCAGAAGACCUCGGAGACUGCUACCUUGAUCAGUUCUUGUCCGUUAAUAGUAAUUGUGGUUUAGAGGUGGCAGUGGGAAGACUAUGGCAUAUUUAGCAGAUACAGCUUAGUGAGUGAUAGGCGGGGUCGGAAAGAAGCACACUGUCCAACCUGAAGUGUCCCCCCCCCGUGCGAGUGGCAGUUUGCAAAGCUGACUUCUGUGUGGUGAGCACGAAAAUGGGUUGAGAUGCCGUGGUGGGCUGGGUUGCCGGGAGAAUUGCCUUUGGCCCUGAGCACCAUAAAUUCUCCCGAGAUCAAGUCAGACCGGAGGGCCACUUCCUUUCCCUCCCUUCCAUUCCGCCAGAAUUCUCAAAAUAGGAGAGAAGGGACAGGAGCCGCUAGGCUGAAACUGGAGAGGCCAGCACUGGACAAGGAGCAGACCUGUGACGGGCUCCAACUUCCGGACCUCCAGUAUGCCCUGCUGCUUUGUUUCUCCUCGUCCGCGGGACAAUGAGUACCAUCUCUGCUGACGCGAAGGUAUUGUGAAAUAAUACCACUGCCAUGUGUCGCUAAAAGUAUGCACCUACUAACGCUGUGCCUGCGAUACAUGUGAUGCCUCAGAUACUCGUAGGGAUUAACGUCAUAAAUGAAGUACUCACAUCUGGGGACUGGAUAGGCACAGGCGAGCAGGAUAGUUCCGUAGUUCCCGAGGCUCUGAGCUGCCCCAC
RNAcentral lists this long non-coding RNA (1218 nucleotides) under Fukomys damarensis (Damara mole-rat). RNAcentral's name for it is "lncRNA (ENSFDAG00000023800.1)". The record is from RNAcentral. Lineage: Eukaryota; Metazoa; Chordata; Mammalia; Rodentia; Bathyergidae.